UACGAAGGGGGCUAGCGUUGCUCGGAAUUACUGGGCGUAAAGGGCGCGUAGGCGGCCCUGCAAGUCAGGCGUGAAAUUCCCGGGCUCAACCUGGGGGCUGCGCUUGAGACUGUGGGGCUAGAGGCCGAGAGAGGGUGGUGGAAUUCCCAGUGUAGAGGUGAAAUUCGUAGAUAUUGGGAAGAACACCGGUGGCGAAGGCGGCCACCUGGCUCGGUUCUGACGCUGAGGUGCGAAAGCGUGGGGAGCAAACAGG
Molecule: ribosomal RNA, 253 nt
Filed under: uncultured bacterium
Lineage: Bacteria
Description: partial 16S ribosomal RNA
Rfam family: Bacterial small subunit ribosomal RNA
Source: RNAcentral